UUUAAGUGCGAACAUAAUUUUCCGCAUCUAAUUUUAAUCAUCCGUCUAAUUUAAAAACUUUUGAUAAUUAGUAUUUAUUGAUAUGAGAUGAUAAAACAUGAACAAUAUUUUACUCGUGACUUUUGUUUUUAAAUUUUUUUAAAAAAAUUUUAAAUACAAUGGAUAAUCAAAGUUGAGCGCGGAAAACCAUGACUACACUUAAA
Molecule: non-coding RNA, 203 nt
Organism: Oryza meridionalis
Lineage: Eukaryota; Viridiplantae; Streptophyta; Magnoliopsida; Poales; Poaceae
Source: Rfam